Molecule: transfer RNA, 76 nt
Filed under: Bifidobacterium asteroides
Lineage: Bacteria; Bacillati; Actinomycetota; Actinomycetes; Bifidobacteriales; Bifidobacteriaceae
Also listed under: 1 other name
Description: tRNA-Ala
Rfam family: tRNA
About the family: Transfer RNA (tRNA) molecules are approximately 80 nucleotides in length. Their secondary structure includes four short double-helical elements and three loops (D, anti-codon, and T loops). Further hydrogen bonds mediate the characteristic L-shaped molecular structure. tRNAs have two regions of fundamental functional importance: the anti-codon, which is responsible for specific mRNA codon recognition, and the 3' end, to which the tRNAs corresponding amino acid is attached (by aminoacyl-tRNA synthetases). tRNAs cope with the degeneracy of the genetic code in two manners: having more than one tRNA (with a specific anti-codon) for a particular amino acid; and 'wobble' base-pairing, i.e. permitting non-standard base-pairing at the 3rd anti-codon position.
Source: RNAcentral
GGGGCUAUGGCGCAGCUGGUAGCGCAUCUGCUUUGCAAGCAGAGGGUCGCCGGUUCGAAUCCGGCUAGCUCCACAA